Molecule: ribosomal RNA, 484 nt
Filed under: uncultured bacterium
Lineage: Bacteria
Description: partial 16S ribosomal RNA
Rfam family: Bacterial small subunit ribosomal RNA
Source: RNAcentral
AUUGAACGCUGGCGGCAUGCUUUACACAUGCAAGUCGAACGGCAGCGCGGGCUUCGGCCUGGCGGCGAGUGGCGAACGGGUGAGUAAUGCAUCGGAACGUGCCCAGUAGUGGGGGAUAGCCCGGCGAAAGCCGAAUUAAUACCGCAUACGACCUGAGGGUGAAAGCGGGGGACCGAAAGGCCUCGCGCUAUUGGAGCGGCCGAUGUCGGAUUAGCUAGUUGGUGGGGUAAAGGCUUACCAAGGCGACGAUCCGUAGCUGGUCUGAGAGGACGACCAGCCACACUGGGACUGAGACACGGCCCAGACUCCUACGGGAGGCAGCAGUGGGGAAUUUUGGACAAUGGGGGCAACCCUGAUCCAGCCAUGCCGCGUGCGGGAAGAAGGCCUUCGGGUUGUAAACCGCUUUUGUUCGGGAAGAAAUCCUCUGGGCUAAUACCCCGGGGGGAUGACGGUACCGGAAGAAUAAGCACCGGCUAACUACGUG